This is a long non-coding RNA of Carassius auratus (goldfish), 650 nucleotides long. RefSeq lists it as uncharacterized. The transcript is spliced from 3 exons. Lineage: Eukaryota; Metazoa; Chordata; Actinopteri; Cypriniformes; Cyprinidae. The record is from RefSeq and is a predicted model, not a curated record.
UACUGUGCCAGAUGUGUUUAAAAUUGGUUUUGUUUUGUAGGCCAGGGUCAGAACUGGAAUCAGGGCUACAAUAACUACUGGAAUCAAGGCUAUGGCAACCAGGGAUAUGGCUACGGCGGCCAGCAAGGCUACGGUGGAUACGGAGGCUAUGGGAACUAUGAUUACACAGGGGGCUACUACGGCUACGGCGGCGGAUAUGACUACGACCAGGGCAAUACAAGCUAUGGAAAAACUCCAAGACGUGGGGCUCACCAGAGUAGCUACAAGCCAUACUGAUCAUGUGUAGUGCAGGUCGUAAAGCUGCAGAGCAGGAGCCAGCGGUCUGGUCACAGUGAACAUUGGGUCUUUUACUUUUGGAAGUUGGCAGAAUCUGGACUUCUGCUUCAUUUUGUACAGAAAACAUAAGGAACUGGGGGGCGCAAAUGUCACUUCACGUUUGUUUUAUAAUUUUUUUUUUUUUUUUUUUUUUUUCAUUUUGUGUCCUUUUUACAUUUCCAGAGAUGGAAGUGUUAUUUUUUUACUGUACUUUUUGGUACCUUUUUGAAUCUAUUGUAUUGUAUGGUUGUAUUUUACAUCAUGGCUGUGUCUAUCACAUCUAGGCUCAGAGCCCUCAAAAUGCUUUCAAAAUAAACAGUUUUGGUUAAUUUUUC